This is a long non-coding RNA of Nyctereutes procyonoides (raccoon dog), 1074 nucleotides long. RefSeq lists it as uncharacterized. The transcript has 2 exons. The record is from RefSeq and is a predicted model, not a curated record. NCBI's taxonomy places the organism in Eukaryota, Metazoa, Chordata, Mammalia, Carnivora, Canidae.
GCAAGGAUUUUAAAAGUUGGUGUAAGAUGAGAAAUGCUAACUGAAAUAUUUAUCGCACUUAUUUUAUGUUUUGUGUCUCUACACAUUUCUAAUUUUUCCUCCCUAAACUUUUCCUCUUUCAGUAAUUCUUCAUUCUGGCAGUCAGCCUUUCCCAGUGGAGUCUAUGUGAUCUGAAGGAAAGUGACCACUUCCCCAGCUACAGGGGCGGACUCUGGAUCAAAUCAUAUCUGAAACUCUCUCUUAUUCGAUUUUUCUUUCUUUCUUUCUUUCUUUCUUUCUUUCUUUCUUUCUUUCUUUCUUUCUUUUUUUUAAGAUUUAUUUAUUUAUUUACUCAUGAGAGACAGACAGAGAGGGGCAGAGACAUAGGCAGAGGGAGAAGCAGGCUCCAUGCAGAGAGCCCAAUGUGAGACUGGAUCCUGAGACUCCAGGAUCAUGCCCUGAGCCAAAGGCAGACAGACGCUGAACCGCUGAGCCACCCAGGCAUCCCUCCUAUUGGAUUUUUCAAUUAUAAAGAAUCGAGGACUACAGGUUCAACAAUGUUGAACAGCGAUGGUGACAGAAGACAUCUCUGUCUUGUUCCUCAUUUAAGGACAUGCUUUCACCAUUACAUUGGGAAGCUGUAGGGUUUUUGUGCAGGCUCGAUAACAGGUCAAGAAAGUGCCCGUGUAUUCUCAGUUUACUAAGAGUUUUUUCAUGAAUAGAGACACUCAAUGUUUUUUCUGCAUCUGUUGAGAUGAUCAUAUGAAUUUAUCCCUUGAAUUGUUACUAUAGAGAAUUACAUUAAUAUAUUUGCUAAUAUUAAAUUGUUUAACAUUCUUAUAAUAAACUUAACCAUGAUGUAUUACAAUUUUUAGUUUGUUAGAUUCAGUUUGUUAAAUUUUUAUUUUUGCAUUGACAUUCAAAAACAAAGUUGUACUAUUUUUGUCUAAUUUUGUUCCUAAGGUUAUGUUAACCUCAUAAAAUGAAUUGAGGAACACUCUUUCUCAUUCUGUUUUCUGGAAGAUUUUGUGUUAUACUGGUUUGAUCUGUUCUCUAAAUGUUUGGCUAACUGACCAGUAAAGCCUCUAUGCCUGA